Molecule: non-coding RNA, 112 nt
Filed under: Clostridium collagenovorans
Lineage: Bacteria; Bacillati; Bacillota; Clostridia; Eubacteriales; Clostridiaceae
Also listed under: 1 other name
Description: TPP sequence
Rfam family: TPP riboswitch aptamer (THI element)
About the family: Vitamin B(1) in its active form thiamin pyrophosphate (TPP) is an essential coenzyme that is synthesised by coupling of pyrimidine and thiazole moieties in bacteria. The previously detected thiamin-regulatory element, thi box was extended, resulting in a new, highly conserved RNA secondary structure, the THI element, which is widely distributed in eubacteria and also occurs in some archaea. Analysis of operon structures identified a large number of new candidate thiamin-regulated genes, mostly transporters, in various prokaryotic organisms.
Source: RNAcentral
GACAAAUGCUAGGGGAGCUAGUAUAGCUAGCUGAGAUUUUGGACAUAGCAAUCCAUUGACCCUUAAACCUGAUCUGGUUAAUGCCAGCGUAGGGAAGCCUUUAAUUACAAUA